RNAcentral lists this transfer RNA (73 nucleotides) under Nocardioides albertanoniae. Its description in RNAcentral is "tRNA-Gly". It matches the Rfam family "tRNA". From Rfam's summary of the family: Transfer RNA (tRNA) molecules are approximately 80 nucleotides in length. Lineage: Bacteria; Bacillati; Actinomycetota; Actinomycetes; Propionibacteriales; Nocardioidaceae. The record is from RNAcentral. RNAcentral also lists the same sequence under 1 other name.
GCGGACGUAGCUCAGUUGGUAGAGCGCAACCUUCCCAAGGUUGAUGUCGCGAGUUCGAGUCUCGUCGUCCGCU